This 301-nucleotide ribosomal RNA is filed under the name uncultured bacterium. RNAcentral's name for it is "partial 16S ribosomal RNA". It matches the Rfam family "Bacterial small subunit ribosomal RNA", at positions 509 to 807 of the family's 1533-position model. The record is from RNAcentral.
CAGUCGCCGCGGUAAUACGAAGGGGGCUAGCGUUGUUCGGAAUUACUGGGCGUAAAGCGCACGUAGGCGGAUCGAUCAGUCAGGGGUGAAAUCCCAGAGCUCAACUCUGGAACUGCCUUUGAUACUGUCGAUCUGGAGUAUGGAAGAGGUGAGUGGAAUUCCGAGUGUAGAGGUGAAAUUCGUAGAUAUUCGGAGGAACACCAGUGGCGAAGGCGGCUCACUGGUCCAUUACUGACGCUGAGGUGCGAAAGCGUGGGGAGCAAACAGGAUUAGAUACCCGUGUAGUCCCUGUCUCUUAUAC